Non-coding RNA from Myotis lucifugus (little brown bat), 73 nucleotides. Lineage: Eukaryota; Metazoa; Chordata; Mammalia; Chiroptera; Vespertilionidae. The record is from Rfam.
GCCGGUUUGGCUCAGUGGAUAGAGCGUUGGCCUAUGGACCCAGGAGUCCCUGGUUCAAUUCCAGUCGAGGGCA